Molecule: non-coding RNA, 48 nt
Organism: Otolemur garnettii (small-eared galago)
Lineage: Eukaryota; Metazoa; Chordata; Mammalia; Primates; Galagidae
Source: Rfam
AAACCGGUUUUUUUUUAAAACCACUUAAUACAUCAUGCAAUAUUUAUU